This 465-nucleotide ribosomal RNA is filed under the name Vreelandella stevensii. Its description in RNAcentral is "partial 16S ribosomal RNA". It matches the Rfam family "Bacterial small subunit ribosomal RNA", at positions 338 to 795 of the family's 1533-position model. The record is from RNAcentral. Lineage: Bacteria; Pseudomonadati; Pseudomonadota; Gammaproteobacteria; Oceanospirillales; Halomonadaceae.
CCUACGGUUGGCAGCAGUGGGGAAUAUUGGACAAUGGGCGAAAGCCUGAUCCAGCCAUGCCGCGUGUGUGAAGAAGGCCUUCGGGUUGUAAAGCACUUUCAGUGGGGAAGAAAGCCUUGGGGCUAAUACCCUCGAGGAAGGACAUCACCCACAGAAGAAGCACCGGCUAACUCCGUGCCAGCAGCCGCGGUAAUACGGAGGGUGCGAGCGUUAAUCGGAAUUACUGGGCGUAAAGCGCGCGUAGGCGGUCUGAUAAGCCGGUUGUGAAAGCCCCGGGCUCAACCUGGGAACGGCAUCCGGAACUGUCAGGCUAGAGUGCAGGAGAGGAAGGUAGAAUUCCCGGUGUAGCAGUGAAAUGCGUAGAGAUCGGGAGGAAUACCAGUGGCGAAGGCGGCCUUCUGGACUGACACUGACGCUGAGGUGCGAAAGCGUGGGUAGCAAACAGGAUUAGAUACCCGAGUAGUC